RNAcentral lists this transfer RNA (69 nucleotides) under Dorcus tenuihirsutus. RNAcentral's name for it is "tRNA-Gln". Lineage: Eukaryota; Metazoa; Arthropoda; Insecta; Coleoptera; Lucanidae. The record is from RNAcentral.
UACAUUUUAGUAUAAGAGGUACAGGAAUUUUUGAUAUUUCUAGAAGUAGUUUAAUUCUGCUGAAUGUAA